GCCCGGAUGGCGGAAUUGGUAGACGCGCUAGGUUCAGGUCCUAGUGGGAGUAUUCCUAUGAGAGUUCAAGUCUCUCUUCGGGUA
RNAcentral lists this transfer RNA (84 nucleotides) under Treponema sp. RNAcentral's name for it is "tRNA-Leu". It matches the Rfam family "tRNA". From Rfam's summary of the family: Transfer RNA (tRNA) molecules are approximately 80 nucleotides in length. Their secondary structure includes four short double-helical elements and three loops (D, anti-codon, and T loops). Further hydrogen bonds mediate the characteristic L-shaped molecular structure. tRNAs have two regions of fundamental functional importance: the anti-codon, which is responsible for specific mRNA codon recognition, and the 3' end, to which the tRNAs corresponding amino acid is attached (by aminoacyl-tRNA synthetases). tRNAs cope with the degeneracy of the genetic code in two manners: having more than one tRNA (with a specific anti-codon) for a particular amino acid; and 'wobble' base-pairing, i.e. permitting non-standard base-pairing at the 3rd anti-codon position. RNAcentral also lists the same sequence under 1 other name. Lineage: Bacteria; Pseudomonadati; Spirochaetota; Spirochaetia; Treponematales; Treponemataceae. The record is from RNAcentral.